RNAcentral lists this ribosomal RNA (1404 nucleotides) under metagenome. Its description in RNAcentral is "bacterial LSU rRNA". It matches the Rfam family "Bacterial large subunit ribosomal RNA", at positions 1499 to 2925 of the family's 2925-position model. The record is from RNAcentral.
UGGAAAGCCCGGUGCAAGCGAAGGAGUCGCAGGGUUGGAAAAUCCGCCCUGCAUAAGACGAAGGCGUGAUGCGGAGCGAAAUGAAGUAGUGAAGCUGCGGCCCCUUCCUGUCGAGAAAAGCCGCUAUCGUGUAGCAAGGGCCCGUACCGUAAACCGACACAGGUGGAUGAGGAGAGGAUCCUAAGGCCGGCGGGAGAAGUGUUGUUAAGGAACUCGGCAAAAUGACUCCGUAACUUCGGGAGAAGGAGUGCUGCGCAAGCAGCCGCAGAGAAAUGGUCCAAGCAACUGUUUAGCAAAAACACAGGUCUAUGCGAAACCGAAAGGUGAGGUAUAUGGGCUGACGCCUGCCCGGUGCUGGAAGGUUAAGGGGGAGCUUAGCGCGAGCGAAGGUUUGAACUUAAGCCCCAGUAAACGGCGGCCGUAACUAUAACGGUCCUAAGGUAGCGAAAUUCCUUGUCGGGUAAGUUCCGACCCGCACGAAAGGCGUAAUGAUUUGGGCACUGUCUCAACAACACACCCGGUGAAAUUGAAAUACCAGUGAAGAUGCUGGUUACCCGCGCCAGGACGGAAAGACCCCAUGGAGCUUUACUCCAGCCUGAUACUGGGAUUCGGUAUUGCAUGUACAGGAUAGGUGGGAGGCUAAGAACUCAUGGCGCCAGCCGUGAGGGAGCCGAUGUUGGGAUACCACCCCUGCAGUACUGGGUUUCUAACCUGCGCCCGUGACCCGGGCGGGGGACAAUGUCAGGCGGGGAGUUUGACUGGGGCGGUCGCCUCCGAAAGGGUAUCGGAGGCGCUCAAAGGUCUCCUCAGGAUGGUUGGAAACCAUCCAGAGAGUGCAAAGGCAGAAGGAGGCUUGACUGCGACACCGACGGGUGGAGCAGGUACGAAAGUAGGACUUAGUGAUCCGGUGGCAUAAAGUGGGAUUGCCAUCGCUCAACGGAUAAAAGCUACCCUGGGAUAACAGGCUUAUCACUCCCAAGAGUUCACAUCGACGGAGUGGUUUGGCACCUCGAUGUCGGCUCAUCGCAUCCUGGAGCUGGAGCAGGUUCCAAGGGUUGGGCUGUUCGCCCAUUAAAGCGGUACGCGAGCUGGGUUCAGAACGUCGUGAGACAGUUCGGUCCCUAUCCGGCGCGGGCGCAGGAUAUCUGAGAGGAGCUGUCCUUAGUACGAGAGGACCGGGAUGGACCGUCCGCUGGUGGACCGGUUGUCAUGCCAAUGGCACGGCCGGGUAGCCAAGACGGGAGGGGAUAAACGCUGAAGGCAUCUAAGCGUGAAGCCCCCCUCAAGAUGAGAUAUCCAUACUCGAAAGAGUGAGAGACCCCUUAAAGACGAUGAGGUAGAUAGGGCAGGGAUGGAAGUGCAGCGAUGCAUGGAGUUGACUGUUACUAAUCGGUCGAAAGCUUG